GACGAACGCUGGCGGCGUGCUUAACACAUGCAAGUCGAACGGAAAGGCCCUGCUUUUGUGGGGUGCUCGAGUGGCGAACGGGUGAGUAACACGUGAGUAACCUGCCCUUGACUUUGGGAUAACGUCAGGAAACUGGGGCUAAUACCGGAUAGGAGCUCCUGCUGCAUGGUGGGGGUUGGAAAGUUUCGGCGGUUGGGGAUGGAUUCGCGGCUUAUCAGCUUGUUGGUGGGGUAGUGGCUUACCAAGGCUUUGACGGGUAGCCGGCCUGAGAGGGUGACCGGCCACAUUGGGACUGAGAUACGGCCGCGACUCCUACGGGAGGCAGCAGUGGGGAAUAUUGCACAAUGGGCGGAAGCCUGAUGCAGCAACGCCGCGUGCUGGAUGACGGCCUUCGGGUUGUAAACCGCUUUCUCCUGUGACGAAGCGUGAGUGACGGUAAUGGGUAAAGAAGCACCGGCUAACUACGUG
This 468-nucleotide ribosomal RNA is filed under the name uncultured bacterium. Its description in RNAcentral is "partial 16S ribosomal RNA". It matches the Rfam family "Bacterial small subunit ribosomal RNA", at positions 28 to 507 of the family's 1533-position model. The record is from RNAcentral.